RNAcentral lists this small nuclear RNA (109 nucleotides) under Polymyxa betae. The record is from RNAcentral. Lineage: Eukaryota; Endomyxa; Phytomyxea; Plasmodiophorida; Plasmodiophoridae.
GGUCUCCUCCGGGAUGUACCACUCAAAAAAUUAGGAACGAUACAGAGAAGAUUAGCAUGGCCCCUGCGCAAGGAUGACACGCAUUAAUCGAGUUGGUUCAACCCUUUUU